AUUGAACGCUGGCGGCAGGCCUAACACAUGCAAGUCGAGCGAGCGACGGACGGUUGAGUAAUGUUUGGGUACUGCUCGAUAGAUGGGGCUAACUACUGGAAACGGUGGCUAAUACAGCAUAUUCUCUGCUCACCCAUAUGGGAUUUGCCAGUAGGGAAGGUAAUAGCUUUCCUAGGCUACGAUCCCUCUCUGGUCUGAGAGGAUGAUCAGCCACACUGGUAAUGAGACACGGCCCAGACGCCUACGGAGGGAGCAGUGGGGAAUAUUGCACAAUGGGCGCAAGCCUGAUGCAGCCAUGCCGCGUGUAUGAAGAAGGCCCUAGGGUUGUAAAGUACUUUCAGUCGGGAGGCGUUACCGACAGAAGAAGAACCGGCUAACUCCGUGCCAGCAGCCGCGGUAAUUC
This 403-nucleotide ribosomal RNA is filed under the name uncultured bacterium. RNAcentral's name for it is "partial 16S ribosomal RNA". It matches the Rfam family "Bacterial small subunit ribosomal RNA", at positions 30 to 526 of the family's 1533-position model. The record is from RNAcentral.